GACGAACGCUGGCGGCGUGCCUAAUACAUGCAAGUUGAGCGCUGAAGGUUGGUACUUGUACCAACUGGAUGAGCAGCGAACGGGUGAGUAACGCGUGGGGAAUCUGCCUUUGAGCGGGGGACAACAUUUGGAAACGAAUGCUAAUACCGCAUAAAAACUUUAAACACAAGUUUUAAGUUUGAAAGAUGCAAUUGCAUCACUCAAAGAUGAUCCCGCGUUGUAUUAGCUAGUUGGUGAGGUAAAGGCUCACCAAGGCGAUGAUACAUAGCCGACCUGAGAGGGUGAUCGGCCACAUUGGGACUGAGACACGGCCCAAACGCCUACGGGAGGCAGCAGUAGGGAAUCUUCGGCAAUGGACGAAGGUCUGACCGAGCAACGCCGCGUGAGUGAAGAAGGUUUUCGGAUCGUAAAACUCUGUUGGUAGAGAAGAACGUUGGUGAGAGUGGAAAGCUCAUCAAGUGACGGUAACUACCCAGAAAGGGACGGCUAACUACGUG
This 497-nucleotide ribosomal RNA is filed under the name uncultured bacterium. RNAcentral's name for it is "partial 16S ribosomal RNA". It matches the Rfam family "Bacterial small subunit ribosomal RNA", at positions 28 to 507 of the family's 1533-position model. The record is from RNAcentral.